ACGCUCGACACCUACGGGAGGCAGCAGUGGGGAAUAUUGCACAAUGGGGGAAACCCUGAUGCAGCGACGCCGCGUGAGCGAAGAAGUAUUUCGGUAUGUAAAGCUCUAUCAGCAGGGAAGAAGAAAGACGGUACCUGACUAAGAAGCCCCGGCUAACUACGUGCCGCAGCCGCGGUAAUCUGAGCGGGCUGGCAAGGC
RNAcentral lists this ribosomal RNA (198 nucleotides) under uncultured bacterium. Its description in RNAcentral is "partial 16S ribosomal RNA". It matches the Rfam family "Bacterial small subunit ribosomal RNA", at positions 328 to 539 of the family's 1533-position model. The record is from RNAcentral.